GUAAAUAUAAACGUGUGUGUGUGUGUAUGAGUCUACGUAUGUGUGUCUGUGUCAAGGUGUGUAUGUGUCAGUGUCUAUUUGUAUGUCACUGUGUAUCUGCCAGUUUGUGUACCUGUGUAUCUGUGUGUCACUUUGUGUAUCUGUGUGCCAAGGUGUGUGUAUGUGUCACUGUAUGUAUUUGUAUGUCAUUGUGUGUAUUAGUCAGUGCAGUGUGUGUAUGUGCCAGUGUGU
Molecule: non-coding RNA, 231 nt
Organism: Pelobates cultripes (western spadefoot toad)
Lineage: Eukaryota; Metazoa; Chordata; Amphibia; Anura; Pelobatidae
Source: the annotation of a GenBank genome assembly